CCUACGGGAGGCAGCAGUAGGGAAUCUUCCACAAUGGACGAAAGUCUGAUGGAGCAACGCCGCGUGAGUGAUGAAGGUUUUCGGAUCGUAAAACUCUGUUGUAAGGGAAGAACAAGUACGAGAGGGAAUGCUCGUACCUUGACGGUACCUUGCGAGAAAGCCACGGCUAACUACGUGCCAGCAGCCGCGGUAAUACGUAGGUCGGCAAGCGUUGUCCGGAAUUAUUGGGCGUAAAGCGCGCGCAGGCGGCCUUUUAAGUCUGAUGUGAAAGCCCCCGGCUCAACCGGGGAGGGUCAUUGGAAACUGGAAGGCUUGAGUACAGAAGAGAAGAGUGGAAUUCCAUGUGUAGCGGUGAAAUGCGUAGAGAUGUGGAGGAACACCAGUGGCGAAGGCGACUCUUUGGUCUGUAACUGACGCUGAGGCGCGAAAGCGUGGGGAGCAAACAGGAUUAGAUACCCUGGUAGUCCACGCCGUAAACGAUGAGUGCUAGGUGUUGGGGGGUUUCCGCCCCUCAGCGCUGAAGCUAACGCAUUAAGCACUCCGCCUGGGGAGUACGGCCGCAAGGCUGAAACUCAAAGGAAUUGACGG
RNAcentral lists this ribosomal RNA (588 nucleotides) under uncultured bacterium. RNAcentral describes it as "bacterial SSU rRNA". It matches the Rfam family "Bacterial small subunit ribosomal RNA", at positions 338 to 916 of the family's 1533-position model. The record is from RNAcentral.